RNAcentral lists this ribosomal RNA (439 nucleotides) under uncultured Chloroflexota bacterium. RNAcentral describes it as "uncultured Chloroflexi bacterium partial 16S ribosomal RNA". It matches the Rfam family "Bacterial small subunit ribosomal RNA", at positions 338 to 794 of the family's 1533-position model. The record is from RNAcentral. Lineage: Bacteria; Bacillati; Chloroflexota.
CCUACGGGAGGCAGCAGCGAGGAAUUUUGCGCAAUGGGCGAAAGCCUGACGCAGCAACGCCGCGUGGGGGAUGAAGGCCUUCGGGUUGUAAACCCCUUUUCUUGGGGACGAUGAUGACGGUACCCAAGGAAUAAGCCUCGGCGAACUACGUGCCAGCAGCCGCGGUAAUACGUAGGAGGCGAGUGUUGUCCGGAUUUACUGGGCGUAAAGAGCGCGUAGGCGGCCGGCUAAGUCUGGGGUGAAAUCUCCCGGAUUAACUGGGAGGGGGCGCCGGAUACUGGUGGGCUGGAGGGCAUCAGAGGGAAGUGGAAUCCCCGGUGGAGGGGUGAAAUGCGUAGAUAUCGGGAGGAACACCGGUGGCGAAAGCGGCUUCCGGGGGUGCCCCUGACACUGAGGCGCGAAAGCGUGGGGAGCGAACGGGAUUAGAUACCCCGGUAGU